AGUGGAUGUUAGUGACAAUUAGUCACUAUAAGAGUAGGAUAUACAUCUAGAUAAAAUCUAUCGACUUUGAUAAAAAGUAGUCCUAUAGGAUUUGAGAGGCUAAGUCCGAGAGUCUGUGGCCACAACAGUGUAAUUGAUGGAAAAAAAUUUUUAUGAAGAUCACAAUUGGACUUGAGCUGAUUGAAUCUAUCAUAUGACUGAUGAUGAGAUUUGACGAUUUAUCCAUGACCUGCCAUCUGUCGGAACUCAUGAUAAAAAGACUGAAUCACAUGUUAACUAUACCUUAAAAUUCUUUCGGUUCUACCAUAUUGCCACUACAUACUGCUAGGAAUCACUGGUGGAUUGUGAAAGCUCACUAGGAUUGCUCAGGAUCGACAAUCCUUGAUGAGUUAGAGUAAAAUUAUUCUGACCCAUUGAAAAAUAUUUCAAUGAUACUGUGAUAGAGAUCAUUGUAUAUCUUACUAUCAGAUAGAAUUGAACCUAUAGGGUCACAUAAUAAAGGAAUUAGAUCUG
RNAcentral lists this long non-coding RNA (513 nucleotides) under Elaeis guineensis (African oil palm). RNAcentral describes it as "long non-coding RNA (EGUI_LNC048476)". The record is from RNAcentral. Lineage: Eukaryota; Viridiplantae; Streptophyta; Magnoliopsida; Arecales; Arecaceae.